RNAcentral lists this ribosomal RNA (206 nucleotides) under uncultured bacterium. RNAcentral's name for it is "partial 16S ribosomal RNA". It matches the Rfam family "Bacterial small subunit ribosomal RNA", at positions 568 to 774 of the family's 1533-position model. The record is from RNAcentral.
UGCGUAGGUGGUUAUUUAAGUCCGUUGUGAAAGCCCUGGGCUCAACCUGGGAACUGCAGUGGAUACUGGAUGACUAGAAUGUGGUAGAGGGUAGCGGAAUUCCUGGUGUAGCAGUGAAAUGCGUAGAGAUCAGGAGGAACAUCCAUGGCGAAGGCAGCUACCUGGACCAACAUUGACACUGAGGCACGAAGCGUGGGGAGCAAACA